UCCGUAGGCGGGCGUCUAAGUCAGUGGUGAAAUCUUACAGCUCAACUGUAAAAUUGCCAUUGAUACUGGAUGUCUUGGAUUAGUGUGAAGUGGUUAGAAUGUGUAGUGUAGCGGUGAAAUGCAUAGAUAUUACACAGAAUACCAAUUGCGAAGGCAGAUCACUAACACUAUAUUGACGCUGAGGGACGAAAGCGUGGGGAGCGAACAGGAUUAGAUACCCUGGUAGUCC
Molecule: ribosomal RNA, 229 nt
Filed under: uncultured bacterium
Lineage: Bacteria
Description: partial 16S ribosomal RNA
Rfam family: Bacterial small subunit ribosomal RNA
Source: RNAcentral